AGGACGAACGCUGGCGGCGUGCUUAACACAUGCAAGUCGAACGCUGAAGCUUGGUGCUUGCACUGGGUGGAUGAGUGGCGAACGGGUGAGUAAUACGUGAGUAACCUGCCCUUGACUCUGGGAUAAGCCUGGGAAACUGGGUCUAAUACUGGAUAUGACCUCCUGUCGCAUGGUGGGGGGUGGAAAGGGUUUGUACUGGUUGUGGAUGGGCUCACGGCCUAUCAGCUUGUUGGUGGGGUAAUGGCCUACCAAGGCGACGACGGGUAGCCGGCCUGAGAGGGUGACCGGCCACACUGGGACUGAGACACGGCCCAGACUCCUACGGGAGGCAGCAGUGGGGAAUAUUGCACAAUGGGCGCAAGCCUGAUGCAGCGACGCCGCGUGAGGGAUGACGGCCUUCGGGUUGUAAACCUCUUUCAGCACGGAAGAAGCGAAAGUGACGGUACGUGCAGAAGAAGCGCCGGCUAACUACGUGCCAGCAGCCGCGGUAAUACGUAGGGCGCAAGCGUUGUCCGGAAUUAUUGGGCGUAAAGAGCUCGUAGGCGGUUUGUCGCGUCUGCUGUGAAAGCCCGGGGCUUAACCCCGGGUGUGCAGUGGGUACGGGCAGACUUGAGUGCAGUAGGGGAGACUGGAACUCCUGGUGUAGCGGUGAAAUGCGCAGAUAUCAGGAAGAACACCGAUGGCGAAGGCAGGUCUCUGGGCUGUUACUGACGCUGAGGAGCGAAAGCAUGGGGAGCGAACAGGAUUAGAUACCCUGGUAGUCCAUGCCG
Molecule: ribosomal RNA, 770 nt
Filed under: Kocuria sp.
Lineage: Bacteria; Bacillati; Actinomycetota; Actinomycetes; Micrococcales; Micrococcaceae
Description: bacterial SSU rRNA
Rfam family: Bacterial small subunit ribosomal RNA
Source: RNAcentral